GUCUACAACAUAACGUUAUUGCACUGGAUCCCAUUAUAAAUUCACAGUUAAGCAUGCUCAAGAUAGAGUAGUACUGGGAUGGGUGACCACUUGGGAAGUCCUAGUGUUUUACAUC
Picea glauca (white spruce) is the source of this 115-nucleotide non-coding RNA. The record is from Rfam. Lineage: Eukaryota; Viridiplantae; Streptophyta; Pinopsida; Pinales; Pinaceae.